This is a non-coding RNA of Schistosoma mattheei, 45 nucleotides long. The record is from Rfam. NCBI's taxonomy places the organism in Eukaryota, Metazoa, Platyhelminthes, Trematoda, Strigeidida, Schistosomatidae.
AUCCAGCUGACGAGUCCCAAAUAAAACGAAACACGCAUCUUGAAU